This 253-nucleotide ribosomal RNA is filed under the name uncultured bacterium. RNAcentral describes it as "partial 16S ribosomal RNA". It matches the Rfam family "Bacterial small subunit ribosomal RNA", at positions 524 to 776 of the family's 1533-position model. The record is from RNAcentral.
UACAGAGGGUGCGAGCGUUAAUCGGAAUUACUGGGCGUAAAGCGUGCGUAGACGGUUUCGUAAGUCGAGUGUGAAAGCCCCCGGCUCAACUGGGGAGGGUCAUUCGAUACUGAUCGACUCGAAGGCAGGAGAGGGUAGUGGAAUUCCCGGUGUAGUGGUGAAAUGCGUAGAUAUCGGGAGGAACACCAGUGGCGAAGGCGACUACCUGGCCUGUUCUUGACGCUGAGGCGCGAAAGCUAGGGGAGCAAACGGG